Molecule: long non-coding RNA, 992 nt
Filed under: Parus major (Great Tit)
Lineage: Eukaryota; Metazoa; Chordata; Aves; Passeriformes; Paridae
Description: lncRNA (ENSPMJG00000015119.1)
Source: RNAcentral
GUAAAAUUCCAGGUUAAAUCACAUUUUGCCUCCUCUAGGCCAACCAUCACCUCCUAAAUGCUUUUAAUUAUCCUGGAAUAAAGUUGUGUGUUCCAUGUCCAGCACAAACAUGAUUUCCUGAAUUCAGAGCAAAGUCUGUGGUGUGCAGAAUGGAAGGGACAUGUACCACUUCAUGGGUCUCUACUGACUGUCAGUGCCUGGAGCAGUGUUGCAACACUUUGGAGUUCUUUCUUGAAGAAUUUCUGAGAAAGUAAGGAGGUCCUUGUACUAGUCUAACACGACAUGAGAAGAACAUCCCUGAAGGAAGUUGUUGCAUCAGACUCAGAGCUGAGCAAGCAAAUCCCUUGGGCCAUCUUUGCAGUCUGGUCACUGAGUCUGUUGAGCCUCACCUCACCUUCUAAGUUCAUUGAUGCACCCUGUUGUCCUAGAUAGAGGUGGAUCCUCAGAAGAAGAUGCUGUUCAUAUUAAACUGAAGCUCAGAAGUCUAUAUAUUCCCACAGCUGCUAGAAGCCCUAGAGAGCAUGUAGAGCUCAGAGCAGCAGCCAGCAGUGUUUGUUUCUUGUGCAUCACCCUCAGGGAAGGCAAUGCUGGUACAACUCCUGUCCUCCUAGGAAAUGAUUUCCCCUGCAGCAGAAAGGAGCUGUGCUAGCAAUGGGAAGUGUAAUUUGCAGCAUGCUGAGCCAUCUUCACUCAAUAUUGCCCUAGAUAUGGAGUUGUUUCUGCAAGUUCACAUCAUUUUGAAAUGGGAAUUUAUGUAAGUGCCUAGUUCUUAGAAGAACUCAGCAGAUUAGUACCAUAUAUUGUUGCCCUGAAAACUCAACUUUUUGAGCUUGUUGACAUAGUUUUCUAACUAACUUUCCCAGGACAGUAACUGUAAACAUAGAUAUGUAUACAUUCUUUCUGAUACACAUCUUGUGAUGGACAUCUCUCAAGUCCAGUGCGGUUGGGAAGGUGUUAUCCUGACCAUCCAAUCCCUGGCCGUGGUCAGAAAC